GGGGAAUUGUUCGCAAUGGGCGCAAGCCUGACGACGCAACGCCGCGUGGAGGACGAAGAUCUUCGGGUCGUAAACUCCUGUCGAGCGGGAAGAAACCCGCGGGGAUGAACAAUCCCCGCGGCUGACGGUACCGCUAAAGGAAGCCCCGGCUAACUCCGUGCCAGCAGCCGCGGUAAUACGGGGGGGGCAAGCGUUGUUCGGAAUUACUGGGCGUAAAGGGCUCGUAGGCGGCCAACUAAGUCGGAUGUGAAAUCCCCAGGCUCAACCUGGGAACUGCAUCCGAUACGGGAUGGCUUGAAUCCGGGAGAGGGAUGCAGAAUUCCAGGUGUAGCGGUGAAAUGCGUAGAUAUCUGGAGGAAUACCGGUGGCGAAGGCGGCAUCCUGGACCGGCAUUGACGCUGAGGAGCGAUAGCCAGGGGAGCAAACG
RNAcentral lists this ribosomal RNA (427 nucleotides) under uncultured Acidobacteriota bacterium. RNAcentral describes it as "bacterial SSU rRNA". It matches the Rfam family "Bacterial small subunit ribosomal RNA", at positions 356 to 774 of the family's 1533-position model. The record is from RNAcentral. Lineage: Bacteria; Pseudomonadati; Acidobacteriota.